CCUACGGGGGGCUGCAGUGGGGAAUAUUGCACAAUGGGGGGAACCCUGAUGCAGCGACGCCGCGUGGGUGAAGGAGUAUUUCGGUAUGUAAAGCCCUAUCAGCAGGGAAGAACAAUGACGGUACCUGACUAAGAAGCACCGGCUAAAUACGUGCCAGCAGCGGCGGUAAUACGUAUGGUGCAAGCGUUAUCCGGAUUUACUGGGGGUAACGGGAGGGCAGGCGGCGCGUUAAGGCGGGUGUGAAAGUCCGCGGCGCAACCGCGGAACUGCAUUGGGAACUGGCGCGCUGGAGUGCCGGAGGGGUAGGCGGAAUUCCUGGUGUAGCGGUGAAAUGCGUAGAUAUUAGGAGGAACACCGGUGGCGAAGGCGGCCUACUGGACGGUGACUGACGCUGAGGCUCGAAAGCGUGGGGAACAAACAGGAUUAGAUACCCUUGUAGUC
This 441-nucleotide ribosomal RNA is filed under the name uncultured bacterium. RNAcentral describes it as "partial 16S ribosomal RNA". It matches the Rfam family "Bacterial small subunit ribosomal RNA", at positions 338 to 795 of the family's 1533-position model. The record is from RNAcentral.